GAGAGUAUAGCUCAAGUGGUAGAGUUCAUGCUUGGCAUGCAAGGGGUCCUGGGUUCAAUCCCUAGUACCUCCA
Molecule: transfer RNA, 73 nt
Filed under: Camelus bactrianus (Bactrian camel)
Lineage: Eukaryota; Metazoa; Chordata; Mammalia; Artiodactyla; Camelidae
Also listed under: 2 other names
Rfam family: tRNA
About the family: Transfer RNA (tRNA) molecules are approximately 80 nucleotides in length. Their secondary structure includes four short double-helical elements and three loops (D, anti-codon, and T loops). Further hydrogen bonds mediate the characteristic L-shaped molecular structure. tRNAs have two regions of fundamental functional importance: the anti-codon, which is responsible for specific mRNA codon recognition, and the 3' end, to which the tRNAs corresponding amino acid is attached (by aminoacyl-tRNA synthetases). tRNAs cope with the degeneracy of the genetic code in two manners: having more than one tRNA (with a specific anti-codon) for a particular amino acid; and 'wobble' base-pairing, i.e. permitting non-standard base-pairing at the 3rd anti-codon position.
Source: Rfam by way of RNAcentral